Molecule: long non-coding RNA, 414 nt
Filed under: Brassica rapa (field mustard)
Lineage: Eukaryota; Viridiplantae; Streptophyta; Magnoliopsida; Brassicales; Brassicaceae
Description: long non-coding RNA (BRAP_LNC003198)
Source: RNAcentral
GAAUUUGUCGGUUAAAAAGAGUCAACAAGAAUAUUACUUUAAUUUGGAUUAAUUCAUGAUGGUUAAGUAUCAACGUAAUUACGUGUGGAGUCCUGGACCUUCCAUGGUUCCCGCGAAGGUUAAAUUUGUUUUUUUUCUUCUCUGUCUUCGUUAUUUUUGUAAUUGUCUUCAGUUUCACUUUAUAAUUAAGGUGGUGACAUCACUAUCGUCGGGCCGAGUGACGUCAUGGCGUCUAUGUGUCUAAUUCACCGAUAUAGACGUGGCGCUUCUGUGGACCCUGAUGGCUAAUUUGCCGACGGCGGCUUCUACUUCAACUUCAGUCACAUUUGUCUGUCACGCGAUUGUUUCGCACGUACAUAACACGUCGAGGAGUCUACUAAAGCCUUUGAAAAAUUCUGAUUAAGUUGAUCUGUU